This 526-nucleotide ribosomal RNA is filed under the name uncultured bacterium. RNAcentral's name for it is "bacterial SSU rRNA". It matches the Rfam family "Bacterial small subunit ribosomal RNA", at positions 19 to 518 of the family's 1533-position model. The record is from RNAcentral.
CUGGCUCAGGACGAACGCUGGCGGCGUGCCUAAUACAUGCAAGUCGAACGGUCUUUCUAUGGAAGCUUGCUUCCACUGAGAAGAUAGUGGCGAACGGGUGAGUAACACGUGGGUAACCUGCCCAUAAGAGGGGGAUAACAUCCGGAAACGGGUGCUAAUACCGCAUAGUUUUCUUGAUCGCAUGAUUGGGAAAGGAAAGACGGCCUUUGUGCUGUCGCUUAUGGAUGGACCCGCGGCGUAUUAGUUAGUUGGUGAGGUAACGGCUCACCAAGACGAUGAUACGUAGCCGACCUGAGAGGGUGAUCGGCCACAUUGGGACUGAGACACGGCCCAAACUCCUACGGGAGGCAGCAGUAGGGAAUCUUCCGCAAUGGACGAAAGUCUGACGGAGCAACGCCGCGUGAGUGAAAGAAGGUUUUCGGAUCGUAAAACUCUGUUGUCAGAGAAGAACAAGUUGGAGAGUAACUGCUCCAGCCUUGACGGUAUCUGACCAGAAAGCCACGGCUAACUACGUGCCAGCCGCCGC